Molecule: ribosomal RNA, 474 nt
Filed under: uncultured bacterium
Lineage: Bacteria
Description: bacterial SSU rRNA
Rfam family: Bacterial small subunit ribosomal RNA
Source: RNAcentral
GACGAACGCUGGCGGCGUGCUUAACACAUGCAAGUCGAGCGGGGAUUAAUGAGGUGCUUGCACCGAUUUAAUUCUAGCGGCGGACGGGUGAGUAACGCGUGAGCAAUCUGUCCUACACAGGGGGAUAACACUUGGAAACAGGUGCUAAUACCGCAUAAGACCACGAGGUCGCAUGGCCACGGGGUAAAAGAUUUAUCGGUGUAGGGUGAGCUCGCGUCCCAUUAGCUAGUUGGUGAGGUAACGGCCCACCAAGGCGACGAUGGGUAGCCGACCUGAGAGGGUGAUCGGCCACAUUGGAACUGAGACACGGUCCAGACUCCUACGGGAGGCAGCAGUGGGGAAUAUUGGGCAAUGGGCGCAAGCCUGACCCAGCAACGCCGCGUGAAGGAAGAAGGUUUUCGGAUUGUAAACUUCUGUCCUAAGUGACGAAUGAAAUGACGGUAGCUUAGGAGGAAGCCCCGGGCUAACUACGUG